UAGACAGUGCCUCCUUUUACCAUCUGUUGCAGUUGUUCACUGAACUUUGCCUGGGAUGGAUUGGGAUCCUCUGUGAUCCCAGUCUCACAGGUCUGGUAUCUCCAGUCUCAACCCAGUGCUAUCAACCCUGUACACUCCAGGUCAUCAUCCCCAAAGAAGAAGACAUCAAGGAAACUUCCAGCCAAAAUGUGCUCACUUGUGAAGUCUUCUUGCAUCUCAACCACGCCUGAACUCUCUGCCUUCUCAGAUGGUGAGAGGUUCAGCAUCAUUAUGUUUGACAUUCCGUCAACUAGUUUUGACUCAACACCUUAAAGGAAUGACUCAACCUGAAAAAGCACAGGAGCCAUUGAUACGUCGGACAGCUAUUUAAAGCUCAACCAAAGCAACACCGAACCUGUCAAAACUGUUCAAAUUCCAUUUGUCGCUCUGAAGCUAAGCAUCCAUGAUGAGUUUCAGGACUGCACACAGAACCUUUUGCUUCUUAUAUUCCAGAAAAUCUAGGUUUACUAUUGGCUGAAAACAGUCAUGUGAUGAGAAAUUUCUUCUCACAGGGACACAUAGUAAGAGCUGUAAUGACCUUAACCAAUCAGAUUGCAUAUGUAUAUAGCUGAAUGCUAAGUGGUGGUAGACGCAUUUAAAAAAAUAUUCAUCUCUCAGCCAAUGAGCUUACAAAAGUCUCUGCUUUUUGAUUGGCAUGUCAAGGAUGAAAUGUUGUUUUGGAUCUUUUGACUCUCUCUUUUCUUUAAUGUAAAAGGAAAAUCCCUGCUAUACUUAUUCAUAGCAAUUAGGCAGACACUUCUGACAUGUCUCAUGUUCCACAUGUUUGCAUGUAUAAUGAUAUGUUUUGAAUUUAGGUUUUUAGUGAUUAUCAGCACAUUGUGCUCCAAUUAAUUUGUAAUUUAAGUCAACAUAACUCUAUGGUCGGCUGAUUAGAUGACAUUGUCCUUGCUUUAUUAAUUCAAUAUCAAAGGCCAUAAGAUGCAUCCUGCGUCUGUUAGGGCAAAUAUACCGUCUUCAACCAAUCACUGGUGCCAUCAAAAUCAACCGUGUCUCAAGAAGCAAUUUGGACCCUGUAGUGAGGUGGUCUAGCUCCCCGCCGCCCCGGAGGGGGAGGAGCCCUGGCCAACUAGCUUACAGACCC
Long non-coding RNA from Mauremys reevesii (Reeves's turtle), 1141 nucleotides. RefSeq lists it as uncharacterized. The transcript has 3 exons. The record is from RefSeq and is a predicted model, not a curated record. Lineage: Eukaryota; Metazoa; Chordata; Testudines; Geoemydidae.